GAAAUGUUAUCGUUUGCGAGCAAGCCUUUGGACAUCAUAUUUUCUGGCUGGGCCAUCCAGCAAAAGAACCGAUUCUGGACAGAAUGGCCUGGAAACGGCAUUCAACAAUGUUCCGGCGGAUGAGUUUUGGAGGCAAGGCAUGUGUCCCCGCCGGUUGCCAGUGUGUUCUUGCAUUGAUUUUGUCCCGGUCCACAUCUGUUAAUAUUGUGAUUAUGUGAAGUGAAUAAACGUUUUUUUUUCGGA
Molecule: long non-coding RNA, 243 nt
Organism: Culex pipiens pallens (northern house mosquito)
Lineage: Eukaryota; Metazoa; Arthropoda; Insecta; Diptera; Culicidae
Exons: 2
Source: RefSeq, a predicted model, not a curated record